RNAcentral lists this ribosomal RNA (505 nucleotides) under uncultured bacterium. Its description in RNAcentral is "partial 16S ribosomal RNA". It matches the Rfam family "Bacterial small subunit ribosomal RNA", at positions 28 to 507 of the family's 1533-position model. The record is from RNAcentral.
GACGAACGCUGGCGGCGUGCCUAAUACAUGCAAGUAGAACGCACAGUUUAUACCGUAGCUUGCUACACCAUAGACUGUGAGUUGCGAACGGGUGAGUAACGCGUAGGUAACCUGCCUGGUAGCGGGGGAUAACUAUUGGAAACGAUAGCUAAUACCGCAUAAUAUUGAUUAUUGCAUGAUAAUUAAUUGAAAGGUGCAAUUGCACCACUACCAGAUGGACCUGCGUUGUAUUAGCUAGUAGGUGAGGUAACGACUCACCUAGGCGACGAUACAUAGCCGACCUGAGAGGGUGAUCGGCCACACUGGGACUGAGACACGGCCCAGACUCCUACGGGAGGCAGCAGUAGGGAAUCUUCGGCAAUGGACGAAAGUCUGACCGAGCAACGCCGCGUGAGUGAAGAAGGUUUUCGGAUCGUAAAGCUCUGUUGUAAGAGAAGAACGGGUGUGAGAGUGGAAAGUUCACACUGUGACGGUAUCUUACCAGAAAGGGACGGCUAACUACGUG